RNAcentral lists this transfer RNA (75 nucleotides) under Gammaproteobacteria bacterium AqS3. Its description in RNAcentral is "tRNA-Glu". It matches the Rfam family "tRNA". Rfam says of the family: Transfer RNA (tRNA) molecules are approximately 80 nucleotides in length. Their secondary structure includes four short double-helical elements and three loops (D, anti-codon, and T loops). The record is from RNAcentral. Lineage: Bacteria; Pseudomonadati; Pseudomonadota; Gammaproteobacteria.
GCCUCCGUAGUUUAGUGGUUAGAACUCUCGACUUUCAAUCGGGCAACGCGGUUUCGAUUACCGCCGGAGGCACCA